AAUCCAUGAUUAGUACAUUUUCAAAGCAAUCCCUUGUAUCGGUCCAAGUAUUCAUACAUAAAUUCAUCAUCAGCUUGAUGAAAAGAUGUUAUGUCAUUUCUGAGUUG
Molecule: small nucleolar RNA, 107 nt
Organism: Hibiscus syriacus
Lineage: Eukaryota; Viridiplantae; Streptophyta; Magnoliopsida; Malvales; Malvaceae
Source: RefSeq, a predicted model, not a curated record